GACGAACGCUGGCGGCGUGCUUAACACAUGCAAGUCGAACGGAAAGGCCCUGCUUUUGUGGGGUGCUCGAGUGGCGAACGGGUGAGUAACACGUGAGUAACCUGCCCUUGACUUUGGGAUAACUUCAGGAAACUGGGGCUAAUACCGGAUAGGAGCUCCUGCUGCAUGGUGGGGGUUGGAAAGUUUCGGCGGUUGGGGAUGGACUCGCGGCUUACCAGCUUGUUGGUGGGGUAGUGGCUUACCAAGGCUUUGACGGGUAGCCGGCCUGAGAGGGUGACCGGCGACAUUGGGACUGAGAUACGGCCCAGACUCCUACGGGAGGCAGCAGUGGGGAAUAUUGCACAAUGGGUGGAAGCCUGAGGCAGCAACGCCGCGUGCGGGAUGACGGCCUUCGGGUUGUAAACCGCUUUCGCCUGUGACGAAGCGGGAGUGACGGUAAUGGGUAAAGAAGCACCGGCUAACUACGUG
Molecule: ribosomal RNA, 468 nt
Filed under: uncultured bacterium
Lineage: Bacteria
Description: partial 16S ribosomal RNA
Rfam family: Bacterial small subunit ribosomal RNA
Source: RNAcentral